RNAcentral lists this ribosomal RNA (405 nucleotides) under uncultured bacterium. RNAcentral's name for it is "partial 16S ribosomal RNA". It matches the Rfam family "Bacterial small subunit ribosomal RNA", at positions 361 to 773 of the family's 1533-position model. The record is from RNAcentral.
AUAUUGCGCAAUGGAGGGAACUCUGACGCAGCGACGCCGCGUGAGCGAUGAAGGUCUUCGGAUCGUAAAGCUCUGUCCUUGGGGAAGAAGGUCUUCGGACUUGACGGUACCUAAGGUGCAAGACCCGGCAUACUACGUCCCAGCAGCCGCGGUAAUACGUAGGGGGCAAGCGUUGACCGGAAUUAGUGGGCGUAAAGGGUGCGUAGGCGGCCUUUUAAGUCAGAAGUGAAAGCCCACGGCUUAACUGUGGGGUUGCAUUUGAAACUGAAGGGCUUGAGUGUCGGAGAGGGUAGUGGAAUUCCCGGAGUAGCGGUGAAAUGCGUAGAUAUCGGGAGGAACACCAGUGGCGAAGGCGACUACCUGGACGACAACUGACGCUGAGGCACGAAAGCUAGGGGAGCAAAC